Long non-coding RNA from Etheostoma cragini (Arkansas darter), 943 nucleotides. RefSeq lists it as uncharacterized. Lineage: Eukaryota; Metazoa; Chordata; Actinopteri; Perciformes; Percidae. The transcript is spliced from 5 exons. The record is from RefSeq and is a predicted model, not a curated record.
UAUCGGCUCCCUCCCUGUUGUUUCUCAGCUUCUGUCUCCUUUUUACUUCUCCUCCUCCACUCCUAAUUUCCCCCCUUCUUUCCCUCUUCUUCUCCCUCUUCUUCUCACUCUCUUCUCCUCUAUUUGUCCCUAUGUCUCUCCAUCUUUUCCAGACAGGCUCUACAGGUCACUAGUUGAGGCUUCUUGGUUCCUCUGACAUCAGCCAAUAAGUCAUAUUUAGAGUGGGCAUUCCCUGGUGGAAGGCCCGCCCCCCACUGACCAUACAAGGUAACAGUGGAAUGCAUGGCUUGGCAGUCCGUCUGCUUCAUAAGAGAGACACAGAGAGCAGAGGGUGUCCCACACUGAUGAGCAGUCCUAUUGUCGGCUGAUCUGAACUUCAGCAUAUUGUGAAAACACUGAAGCUUCAGAAGGAUGCAAGUGGGCAAACCUGCUCCUCAACUCAUCAUUAGUGCAAAAUCAGCCUUUUAGCAUCCAGACGAGUAAUUUCCCCCAGGAAAACCAAGGAACCUGCCACGGGAGAGGACCAGCCUGGAGAAAGCUCAUCAGUCCAGCAGCGGGGCAGCCUGCCAGCUGCUGCAGAUGUUUAAUAAGAACACUGCUGUGUGUAUUCACGCGCCAACACAGAUGAGAGACAAGGACAAUCUCGCGGUGUACAAGAAACCAACCAGGUGUUGCUGUUGAGAUAAUGGAGAUCAAAGAUGGAGAUCCAACCGAUUGCACUUUGGGAUGUCAGAGAUGAGCAAGUACAGAGUCGAGUUAUUCAUCCCUGUGGCCCAUGGUGCAGUGCUGCAUCUCUGGUCAGUUGGUAGUCUGAGAUGAAGCACUGUAGCUCGGGACGGAGGACAGACAUAUACCCACAGCCAGGUAACAGCAUCCAGCAGCAGGGCUGCAGGGCUCUGGUUGGCUUCAGACAAGGAGGAUGGUAUGAACCAGCAUGCAACAC